CGCUGGCGGCGUGCCUAAUACAUGCAAGUCGAAUUAGUUCUGAUUAUUGAAAGGUGCUUGCAUCUUGAUUUAAUUUUGAACGAGUGGCGGACGGGUGAGUAACACGUGGGUAACCUGCCCUUAAGUGGGGGAUAACAUUUGGAAAUAGAUGCUAAUACCGCAUAAAUCCAAGAACCGCAUGGUUCUUGGCUGGAAGAUGGCGUAAGCUAUCGCUUUUGGAUGGACCCGCGGCGUAUUAGCUAGUUGGUGAGGUAACGGCUCACCAAGGCAAUGAUACGUAGCCGAACUGAGAGGUUGAUCGGCCACAUUGGGACUGAGACACGGCCCAAACUCCUACGGGAGGCAGCAGUAGGGAAUCUUCCACAAUGGACGCAAGUCUGAUGGAGCAACGCCGCGUGAGUGAAGAAGGCUUUCGGGUCGUAAAACUCUGUUGUUGGAGAAGAAUGGUCGGCAGAGUAACUGUUGUCGGCGUGACGGUAUCCAACCAGAAAGCCACGGCUAACUACGUGCCAGCAGCCGCGGUAAUACGUAGGUGGCAAGCGUUAUCCGGAUUUAUUGGGCGUAAAGCGAGCGCAGGCGGUUUUUUAAGUCUGAUGUGAAAGCCCUCGGCUUAACCGAGGAAGUGCAUCGGAAACUGGGAAACUUGAGUGCAGAAGAGGACAGUGGAACUCCAUGUGUAGCGGUGAAAUGCGUAGAUAUAUGGAAGAACACCAGUGGCGAAGGCGGCUGUCUGGUCUGUAACUGACGCUGAGGCUCGAAAGCAUGGGUAGCGAACAGGAUUAGAUACCCUGGUAGUCCAUGCCGUAAACGAUGAAUGCUAGGUGUUGGAGGGUUUCCGCCCUUCAGUGCCGCAGCUAACGCAUUAAGCAUUCCGCCUGGGGAGUACGACCGCAAGGUUGAAACUCAAAGGAAUUGACGGGGGCCCGCACAAGCGGUGGAGCAUGUGGUUUAAUUCGAAGCAACGCGAAGAACCUUACCAGGUCUUGACAUCUUUUGAUCACCUGAGAGAUCAGGUUUCUCCUUCGGGGGCAAAAUGACAGGUGGUGCAUGGUUGUCGUCAGCUCGUGUCGUGAGAUGUUGGGUUAAGUCCCGCAACGAGCGCAACCCUUAUGACUAGUUGCCAGCAUUUAGUUGGGCACUCUAGUAAGACUGCCGGUGACAAACCGGAGGAAGGUGGGGAUGACGUCAAAUCAUCAUGCCCCUUAUGACCUGGGCUACACACGUGCUACAAUGGAUGGUACAACGAGUUGCGAGACCGCGAGGUCAAGCUAAUCUCUUAAAGCCAUUCUCAGUUCGGACUGUGGGCUGCAACUCGCCUACACGAAGUCGGAAUCGCUAGUAAUCGCGGAUCAGCACGCCGCGGUGAAUACGUUCCCGGGCCUUGUACACACCGCCCGUCACACCAUGAGAGUUUGUAACACCCGAAGCCGGUGACGUAACCCUUUUAGGGAGCGAGCCGUCUAAGGUGGGAC
Molecule: ribosomal RNA, 1472 nt
Filed under: uncultured organism
Description: 16S ribosomal RNA
Rfam family: Bacterial small subunit ribosomal RNA
Source: RNAcentral